RNAcentral lists this transfer RNA (82 nucleotides) under Trichobilharzia regenti. It matches the Rfam family "tRNA". From Rfam's summary of the family: Transfer RNA (tRNA) molecules are approximately 80 nucleotides in length. The record is from Rfam by way of RNAcentral. Lineage: Eukaryota; Metazoa; Platyhelminthes; Trematoda; Strigeidida; Schistosomatidae.
GUCGUGAUGUCCGAGUGAUUAAGGCACUGGAUUCAAAAUCCCUUGGUGUUUCCUCGUACAGGUUCAAUUCUUGUUCACGACG